AAGAGAUAAGCUAAAAUGACAUAAAAGUGUCUGAUCAAUAGAAGAAGUCUCCAUACAAAGUGUCUAAAAAUAUACAAUCACAAAGUAAUGAGAAUAAGAAUUUUCCAAGUAAAUACAGUAAAACAUUGAGCACAAGAAUCAAUCAAGCAACACAUGCCUUAAAACGGAUAUUGUCUAAACAACAUAUGAACAAAAUAAAAGAAUAUAUCUUUAUCCUAGAGGACAACACUUCACUCCUG
RNAcentral lists this long non-coding RNA (239 nucleotides) under Vigna radiata. RNAcentral describes it as "long non-coding RNA (VRAD_LNC008287)". Lineage: Eukaryota; Viridiplantae; Streptophyta; Magnoliopsida; Fabales; Fabaceae. The record is from RNAcentral.